CCUACGGGAGGCAGCAGUGGGGAAUAUUGGACAAUGGGGGCAACCCUGAUCCAGCCAUGCCGCGUGAGUGAAGAAGGCCUUAGGGUUGUAAAGCUCUUUCAGCGGGGAAGAUGAUGACGGUACCCGCAGAAGAAGCCCCGGCUAACUCCGUGCCAGCAGCCGCGGUAAU
RNAcentral lists this ribosomal RNA (169 nucleotides) under uncultured bacterium. RNAcentral describes it as "partial 16S ribosomal RNA". It matches the Rfam family "Bacterial small subunit ribosomal RNA", at positions 338 to 524 of the family's 1533-position model. The record is from RNAcentral.